UACGUAGGGUGCAAGCGUUGCCCGGAUUUAUUGGGCGUAAAGGGCGCGUAGGCGGCUCUGCACGUCCGUUGUGAAAUCGCCCGGCUCAACUGGGCGGGGUCAGCGGAUACGGCAGAGCUUGAGCAAGCUAGGGGGCAAUGGAAUUCCCGGUGUAGUGGUGGAAUGCGUAGAUAUCGGGGAGGAACACCAGUGGCGAAGGCGGUUGCCUGGGGCUUUGCUGACGCUGAUGCGCGAAAGCGUGGGGAGCGAUCCGG
This 254-nucleotide ribosomal RNA is filed under the name uncultured bacterium. RNAcentral describes it as "partial 16S ribosomal RNA". It matches the Rfam family "Bacterial small subunit ribosomal RNA", at positions 524 to 776 of the family's 1533-position model. The record is from RNAcentral.